RNAcentral lists this transfer RNA (73 nucleotides) under Marmota monax (woodchuck). It matches the Rfam family "tRNA". From Rfam's summary of the family: Transfer RNA (tRNA) molecules are approximately 80 nucleotides in length. Their secondary structure includes four short double-helical elements and three loops (D, anti-codon, and T loops). Further hydrogen bonds mediate the characteristic L-shaped molecular structure. tRNAs have two regions of fundamental functional importance: the anti-codon, which is responsible for specific mRNA codon recognition, and the 3' end, to which the tRNAs corresponding amino acid is attached (by aminoacyl-tRNA synthetases). tRNAs cope with the degeneracy of the genetic code in two manners: having more than one tRNA (with a specific anti-codon) for a particular amino acid; and 'wobble' base-pairing, i.e. permitting non-standard base-pairing at the 3rd anti-codon position. The record is from Rfam by way of RNAcentral. Lineage: Eukaryota; Metazoa; Chordata; Mammalia; Rodentia; Sciuridae.
GGGGAUGGGGCUCAGUUGGUAGAGUGCAUGCCUCACAUGCACAAGGCCCUGGGUUCAAUCCCCAGCACCCCUC